UGGCUCAGAACGAACGUUAGCGGCGCGCCUAAGACAUGCAAGUCGAGCGAGAAAGGGCUUCGGCCCCGGUAAAGCGGCGCACGGGUGAGUAACACGUAGGUAAUCAACCCUCGAGUGGUGGACAACUCUCCGAAAGGAGAGCUAAUACAGCAUGACGGCACAGUUUUUCGAGAUUGUGUCCAAAGCGGGCCUCUUCACGAAAGCUCGCGCUUGGGGAUGAGCCUGCGGCCCAUCAGCUAGUUGGAGGGGUAACGGCCCACCAAGGCAAAGACGGGUAGCUGGUCUGAGAGGAUGAACAGCCACACUGGAACUGAGACACGGUCCAGACUCCUACGGGAGGCAGCAGUCGGGAAUCUUCCGCAAUGGGCGAAAGCCUGACGGAGCGACGCCGCGUGAGCGAUGAAGGCCUUCGGGUUGUAAAGCUCUGUGGGGAGGGAAGAAUAAGUUCAAGCCAACACCUUGAAUGAUGACGGUACCUCCUUAGCAAGCACCGGCUAACUCUGUGCCAGCAGCCGCGGUAAGACAGAGGGUGCAAACGUUGUUCGGAUUUACUGGGCGUAAAGCGUGUGUAGGCGGCUUUGUAUGUCGGAUGUGAAAGCCCACGGCUCAACCGUGGAAGUGCAUCCGAAACUGCAUGGCUGGAGUCCCGGAGAGGAAGGUGGAAUGCUUGGUGUAGAGGUGAAAUUCGUAGAUAUCAAGCAGAACACCUGCGGCGAAGGCGGCCUUCUGGACGGUGACUGACGCUGAGACACGAAAGCGUGGGGAGCAAACAGGAUUAGAUACCCUGGUAGUCCACGCCGUAAACGAUGAGUGCUAGGUGUCACGGGCUUUGACCCUCGUGGUGCCGUAGCUAACGCAAUAAGCACUCCGCCUGGGGGAGUACG
Molecule: ribosomal RNA, 884 nt
Filed under: uncultured bacterium
Lineage: Bacteria
Description: bacterial SSU rRNA
Rfam family: Bacterial small subunit ribosomal RNA
Source: RNAcentral